AAUUUAAAGUUCCGUAUUCUCCAUAUUGAAUACGGAACUUAAAAUUCCGUACUGUAUUUAAGUAUGCGUGUCACAUUUUCAACCAUUCAUUAUAUACUAAAAUAGAUACGGAAUUUUAUUUUCCGUAUUGAUAUGGAAAUUUAAAUUCCGUAUCUGUUUUAGUGGGGUGCAAAGCCUAAGGGGUGGGGCUCCAAACCCAACUCCCGGCAUAAGACCAUGACUCUGGUGGGUACUAUAGGCUUUUCACACACAUUAGGUUAUCUAGUCACGAGUUGCGUUUAGCAAAUAUGUUUGGGGACUUUAUUUUUUUCAUCAUAAGAUUUUCCCAAGUUAUGAAGCGGAACCGAGUUGGUUGCGUUUUCAUCAAUUGGUAACCACUCUAAUCGUGGUCGUUUCCUAGUGAUCGACAAAGUCAAACGGUGGGGGGCGAACUUUGGCAGUAAGAUUUUCCAAGCGUAUGCGACAUGUUGUCCUUGCGCAUCCUCUGGUUUCUCGGUUUAAGGAGUAAGUGGUUUUACCCUUGGCUCUUGGUGGUGUUGCCACCGGUGUUGUACAAUUGGCAUCAUGCAUAUACAAGUGUCAUUUACUAGGUACCGAAAUUGUACUCCUCUAACUCUUGGCAUCAUCGAGAGCUAAUGGCAAGAGGUUUUGUAGUUGUGAUGUGAUUAGAAGCCUCAGAAAAGAGAAAAUGAGAAGAGAGUGACUUCAUCGGUUACAAAGGCGAUGAUGUAAAGGACUUCAACGACAUUCAACGAUGCAAACUCUAGAGUAUGUUACAUGUUUCAAGUGUUACGGUUGAUUCUAUAAUGCCAUACCCAAAUUCUAGGUGUUUUUGAUGUUUUUGUUACAAUUCAUUCUAGCUUCAAAAUCAAC
Lotus japonicus is the source of this 873-nucleotide long non-coding RNA. RefSeq lists it as uncharacterized. The record is from RefSeq and is a predicted model, not a curated record. The transcript has 2 exons. Lineage: Eukaryota; Viridiplantae; Streptophyta; Magnoliopsida; Fabales; Fabaceae.